This 492-nucleotide ribosomal RNA is filed under the name uncultured bacterium. RNAcentral's name for it is "partial 16S ribosomal RNA". It matches the Rfam family "Bacterial small subunit ribosomal RNA", at positions 29 to 507 of the family's 1533-position model. The record is from RNAcentral.
AGUGAACGCUGGCGGUAGGCCUAACACAUGCAAGUCGAACGGCAGCACAGUAAGAGCUUGCUCUUACGGGUGGCGAGUGGCGGACGGGUGGGGAAUACAUCGGAAUCUACUUUUUCGUGGGGGAUAACGUAGGGAAACUUACGCUAAUACCGCAUACGACCUACGGGUGAAAGCAGGGGAUCUUCGGACCUUGCGCGAUUGAAUGAGCCGAUGUCGGAUUAGCUAGUUGGCGGGGUAAAGGCCCACCAAGGCGACGAUCCGUGGCUGGUCUGAGAGGAUGAUCAGCCACACUGGAACUGAGACACGGUCCAGACUCCUACGGGAGGCAGCAGUGGGGAAUAUUGGACAAUGGGCGCAAGCCUGAUCCAGCCAUACCGCGUGGGUGAAGAAGGCCUUCGGGUUGUAAAGCCCUUUUGUUGGGAAAGAAAAGCAGCAGGUUAAUACCCCGCUGUUCUGACGGUACCCAAAGAAUAAGCACCGGCUAACUUCGUG